RNAcentral lists this transfer RNA (75 nucleotides) under Spirochaetia bacterium. RNAcentral describes it as "tRNA-Lys". It matches the Rfam family "tRNA". From Rfam's summary of the family: Transfer RNA (tRNA) molecules are approximately 80 nucleotides in length. The record is from RNAcentral. Lineage: Bacteria; Pseudomonadati; Spirochaetota; Spirochaetia.
UGGGCCGUUAGCUCAGUCGGUAGAGCAUCGCCCUUUUAAGGCGGUGGUCGAAGGUUCGAAUCCUGCACGGCUCAA